This is a long non-coding RNA of Chrysemys picta bellii (western painted turtle), 1832 nucleotides long. Lineage: Eukaryota; Metazoa; Chordata; Testudines; Emydidae. The record is from Ensembl.
CUUAUUAGGGUGGUGCGGGCCUCUCUGGGCUCACAGAGGUUCUUGCUUCUCACAUGCAGGCUUUGUGCCGCUUCCCUUCUUCCUCCGGCACGACUCCCCAAUGUCCUGGGACCUCUGCGCCCAUAUCCCGGCUGCCGAGAGCCUGGACUCGUGGGAGAGCAGCUUGCUGUGGGAUGGAGGGUCUCUGGUCAUCGCCAAUUCUUCCCAGGGGCAGCCGGGGACGCCAGGGGGAGCUGGCUCCAUCUCCCCACAGCCACCUCUGGAUCUCUCCGGGUUUCCUUUGGCCGAGCCCUGGGACGUCCUCUCGCCGGAUGCCCCCGCUGACGCAGCCCCCGAUUUCGUUCACCCCCUGGUGACGGCUGUUCACCUGGAUCCUGGUGCGCCGUGGUUGAUGUCAAGGAUAAAUCCAGCUGGAUCUACUCCCACUCCACCACCUCUGGAUUCUGCUGGUUUUCCUUCGCCCGAGCUCUGGACCGGGCCCCACAUGGACGCCCCUCCUGAUGCAGCCCCCGAUCCCGCUCUGCCCCCCGUGGCUACUGCCUGCCUGGAUCCCGCAGACGUACCCCCGACAUCAAUGACAAAUCCAGACUUGGGUGAAGUCUUGGCCCACGUCUCUCACACUCUGAGAUGCCACCCCAAGGGUAUGAGGGUGAAGCCGCUGACGAAGAGGCUGCGGAAGGAGCAUGGGGUGGACCUGUUGGCAUUCAGCCAGGACGGGGGGUACCAGGGAGUCGUGUCCUUCCUGCAGGAGACGCCGGGUAUCGAACUCUGGAACCCCGAGAAGGGAGAGAAGUGUCGUGUCCUGAGCUGUACCUUUAAGAAGAGUGAGUGGGGAGAUGGUUUCUUGUAGGGCUGCCCCAGCCCGGCCCCCUUCCUGAAUGUGGAGAGAGCCCCUGGCCAAUGGCACACUGGCCUCUCCGCACCCAGCUGUGUCUCCCCCAGUGCAUGCUGGGGAAACAUGGCCCAUGGCCUGUCUGUAUCCUGCUGCCCAGUAUCUCUCAUGGUGUCUCUGUCUUGCCAGACGUCACAGACCCCCUGCCGCUGCUCUGCAGCACCCUGGGCUCCUUCCCCAAUGGCCUGCGGGUCUUCAGUCUGAGGAAGGCCAUGUGGCAGAGGCACGGGGUGAACUUGGAGGAAUUCAGCCAGCAACAGGGAUAUCUGAGCACCCUGGACUAUCUGACCAGGCUGCGUGGGAUCAGGCUGCAGGGGCUGGAGAGAGGGGAAAAGUGUCUUGUCCAGCUUCAGAAGGGUGAGGAGAGAGGGAUGGGGUCCAGGCGUCAGGGCUGAACUGGUCUUAGGUAGGAUGAGGGCAGGUUAUCCCACUGCUCACACCAAUGGACAUCCCGCAUCUUCCUCUGAGGCCAAAUGGACUAGAUGGCCCUUUGGGCUUCCUCCCCCAUGAGAUUUCAUCUCCCACAAUGCACUGUCCUACUGCCAUCAUGCACCACCUCCCGCCACCAAGAAUAGAGGCUAUGGUGCAUUGUGGGAGAUGUAGUCCGACCAGGGAGCCUGGGCUGUAGAGGAGAAUGGCAGUCACAAGGCAUCUGAACUACAACUCCCAUGAAGCACCGCAGUGACUUUUCUAAAUUGAAACAGCUCACUGAAAACUUGAAAUUUUCUAUGGAAAAUCUGGAGCACAGUGAGUCCUUUUUGCCUCAUGUUUUCUUGACAAGCACGACCCCCCCCCCUUUUUUUUUUUGACAAAAGCGACUUUUUUCCCUCACUCUUUUUUGACAUCAGCCAUUUUUCUCUGAUUUUUGACAAAAGCGAGGUUUUUUCCCUCCAUAUUUUUUUUUGACAAAAAUGACAGUUUUCCAUCUGUUUUCUUGACA